This 260-nucleotide unclassified non-coding RNA is filed under the name uncultured fungus. RNAcentral describes it as "partial contains small subunit ribosomal RNA, internal transcribed spacer 1, and 5.8S ribosomal RNA". The stretch from base 1 to 73 matches the Rfam family "Eukaryotic small subunit ribosomal RNA", at positions 1759 to 1831 of the family's 1831-position model. The record is from RNAcentral. Lineage: Eukaryota; Fungi.
GCAAACUUGGUCAUUUAGAGGAAGUAAAAGUCGUAACAAGGUUUCCGUAGGUGAACCUGCGGAAGGAUCAUUAGUGAAAUUUUAAAGGGCGCUCUUUUUAGAGGCCCGGCCUUUUUUUUCACACACUGUGCACAUCUACUUCUUUUACACCAUUUUAAACACAAAGUCAUAGGAAUGUAUAUCUGCUCUUAGCUGAGCUUAAAAAUAGUAAAACUUUCGGCAAUGGAUCUCUUGGCUCCCGCAUCGAUGAAGAACGCAGC